Molecule: ribosomal RNA, 481 nt
Filed under: uncultured bacterium
Lineage: Bacteria
Description: partial 16S ribosomal RNA
Rfam family: Bacterial small subunit ribosomal RNA
Source: RNAcentral
GACGAACGCUGGCGGCGUGCUUAACACAUGCAAGUCGAACGGGAUCCGGGCUUUCGGGCUUGGUGAGAGUGGCGAACGGGUGAGUAACACGUGAGUAACCUGCCCCCUUCUUUGGGAUAACGUCGGGAAAUCGGCGCUAAUACUGGAUAUUCUUGCUGCAUCGCAUGGUGUGGUUUGGAAAGGGUUUCUGGUGGGGGAUGGGCUCGCGGCCUAUCAGCUUGUUGGUGGGGUGAUGGCCUACCAAGGCUUUGACGGGUAGCCGGCCUGAGAGGGUGUCCGGCCACACUGGGACUGAGACACGGCCCAGACUCCUACGGGAGGCAGCAGUGGGGAAUAUUGCACAAUGGGCGCAAGCCUGAUGCAGCGACGCCGCGUGAGGGAUGACGGCCUUCGGGUUGUAAACCUCUUUCAGUAUGGAACAAGGAUCCUUCUUUUGGGGGGUUUGAGGGUACGUGCAGAAGAAGCGCCGGCUAACUACGUG